Molecule: ribosomal RNA, 253 nt
Filed under: uncultured bacterium
Lineage: Bacteria
Description: partial 16S ribosomal RNA
Rfam family: Bacterial small subunit ribosomal RNA
Source: RNAcentral
UACGAAGGACCCGAGCGUUAUCCGGAUUUAUUGGGUUUAAAGAGUGCGUAGGCGGAUUUACAAGUCAGUGGUGAAAUCUCCCAGCUUAACUGGGAAACUGCCAUUGAAACUGUUUAUCUUGAGUACAUUUGAGGCGGGCGGAAUGUGUCAUGUAGAGGUGAAAUUCUUAGAUAUGACACAGAACACCAAUUGCGAAGGCAGCUCGCUAAACUGUAACUGACGCUGAGGCACGAAAGCGUGGGGAUCAAACAGG